Molecule: ribosomal RNA, 549 nt
Filed under: uncultured bacterium
Lineage: Bacteria
Description: bacterial SSU rRNA
Rfam family: Bacterial small subunit ribosomal RNA
Source: RNAcentral
AGCGGCGGACGGGUGAGUAAUGCCUGGGAAUAUGCCCUGAUGUGGGGGAUAACUAUUGGAAACGAUAGCUAAUACCGCAUAAUCUCUUCGGAGCAAAGAGGGGGACCUUCGGGCCUCUCGCGUCAGGAUUAGCCCAGGUGGGAUUAGCUUGUUGGUGAGGUAAUGGCUCACCAAGGCAACGAUCCCUAGCUGGUCUGAGAGGAUGAUCAGCCACACUGGAACUGAGACACGGUCCAGACUCCUACGGGAGGCAGCAGUGGGGAAUAUUGCACAAUGGGGGAAACCCUGAUGCAGCCAUGCCGCGUGUGUGAAGAAGGCCUUCGGGUUGUAAAGCACUUUCAGUAGGGAGGAAGGUAGUGUAGUUAACACCUGCACUAUUUGACGUUACCUACAGAAGAAGCACCGGCUAACUCCGUGCCAGCAGCCGCGGUAAUACGGAGGGUGCGAGCGUUAAUCGGAAUUACUGGGCGUAAAGCGCAUGCAGGCGGCCUGUUAAGUCAGAUGUGAAAGCCCGGGGCUUAACCUCGGAAUUGCAUUUGAAACUGGCAG